GCCCUGGUGGCACAGCUGUUAAAUGCACAUACCUCUCACCCAUGGUGGCCGGGGUUCGAAUCUGGGCCAGGGCA
Molecule: non-coding RNA, 74 nt
Organism: Gymnothorax javanicus (giant moray)
Lineage: Eukaryota; Metazoa; Chordata; Actinopteri; Anguilliformes; Muraenidae
Source: the annotation of a GenBank genome assembly